This 483-nucleotide ribosomal RNA is filed under the name uncultured bacterium. RNAcentral's name for it is "bacterial SSU rRNA". It matches the Rfam family "Bacterial small subunit ribosomal RNA", at positions 28 to 507 of the family's 1533-position model. The record is from RNAcentral.
GAUGAACGCUGGCGGCGUGCUUAACACAUGCAAGUCGAACGAAGCAUUUACGACAGAUCUUUUCGGAGUGAAGUUGUUUAUGACUGAGUGGCGGACGGGUGAGUAACGCGUGGGUAACCUGCCUCAUACAGGGGGAUAACAGUUGGAAACGACUGCUAAUACCGCAUAAGCGCACGGUAUCGCAUGAUACAGUGUGAAAAACUCCGGUGGUAUGGGAUGGAUCCGCGUCUGAUUAGCCAGUUGGCGGGGUAACGGCCCACCAAAGCGACGAUCAGUAGCCGACCUGAGAGGGUGACCGGCCACAUUGGGACUGAGACACGGCCCAAACUCCUACGGGAGGCAGCAGUGGGGAAUAUUGCACAAUGGGGGAAACCCUGAUGCAGCGACGCCGCGUGAGUGAAGAAGUAUUUCGGUAUGUAAAGCUCUAUCAGCAGGGAAGAAAACAAUGACGGUACCUGUUGGGAAGCCACGGCUAACUACGUG